GAUGAACGCUGGCGGCGUGCCUAAUACAUGCAAGUCGAACGGAGAUUGUAGCAAUACAUUCUUAGUGGCGAACGGGUGAGUAACGCGUUGGUAACCUGCCCCAAAGAGAGGGAUAACAAUUCGAAAGAAUUGCUAAUACCCCAUGUGAUCCUCAGCAUUAGAUGGCUGAUGAUUAAACGGAUUUAUUCGCUUUGGGAGGGGCCUGCGUCCCAUCAGCUAGUUGGUAGGGUAACGGCCUACCAAGGCUAUGACGGGUAGGGGACCUGAGAGGGUGACCCCCCACACUGGCACUGAAACACGGGCCAGACACCUACGGGUGGCAGCAGUAGGGAAUAUUAGUAAUCUGGGAAACCGGGAACUAGCAACGCCGCGUGUGCGAUGAAGGCCUUCGGUUGUAAAGCACUUUUAAGGGUAAUGAGAAAGGACAGUACCUUACGAAUAAGUCUCGGCUAACUACGUG
This 460-nucleotide ribosomal RNA is filed under the name uncultured bacterium. RNAcentral's name for it is "bacterial SSU rRNA". It matches the Rfam family "Bacterial small subunit ribosomal RNA", at positions 28 to 507 of the family's 1533-position model. The record is from RNAcentral.